This 1235-nucleotide ribosomal RNA is filed under the name metagenome. RNAcentral describes it as "bacterial LSU rRNA". It matches the Rfam family "Bacterial large subunit ribosomal RNA", at positions 1564 to 2808 of the family's 2925-position model. The record is from RNAcentral.
UGAAUACGAGACGCUAAGGCGUCGAAGUAGUGUAUGUCAUACUUCCAAGAAAAGCUUGCACUGUCAUAAGUAAAAAAUGCCUGUACCAUAACCGACACAGGUGGGUAGGUAGAGUAUACUAAGGGGCGCGAGAUAACUCUCUCUAAGGAACUCGGCAAAAUGACUCCGUAACUUCGGGAGAAGGAGUGCCUUAUUUAUAAGGUUGCAAUAACAAGAUCCAAGCAACUGUUUAUCAAAAACACAGGUCUCCGCUAAGUCGUAAGACGAUGUAUGGGGGCUGACGCCUGCCCAGUGCCAGAAGGUUAAAGAAGUUGGUUAGUGUAUGCGAAGCUGAUGACUGAAGCCCUGGUGAACGGCGGCCGUAACAAUAACGGUCCUAAGGUAGCGAAAUUCCUUGUCGGGUAAGUUCCGACCCGCACGAAAGGCGUAAUGAUUUGGAUACUGUCUCGGAGAGAGGCUCGGUGAAAUAGACUUGUCUGUGAAGAUGCGGACUACCUGCACCAGGACAGAAAGACCCUGUGAAGCUUUACUGUAACUUGAAAUUGGAAUUGGACUUUGCUUGCGCAGUAUAGGUGGGAAGCGUUGAAGAUAUUCUUGCGGGAGUAUUGGAGCUAUCAGUGAGAUACCACUCUUGUAAUGUUAGAUUUCUAACUUUGAACCAUAAUCUGGUCAAAGAACAGUUUCAGGUGGGCAGUUUGACUGGGGCGUUCGCCUCCCAAAUGGUAACGGAGGCGUACAAAGGUUUCCUCUGAACGGAUAGAAAUCGUAUCUAGAGUGUAAAGGCAUAAGGAAGCUUGACUGUGAGACCUACAAGUCGAGCAGGGACGAAAGUCGGUCUUAGUGAUCUGACGGUACUGAGUGGAAAGGCCGUCACUCAACGGAUAAAAGUUACUCUAAGGAUAACAGGCUGAUCUCCCCCAAGAGUUCACAUCGACGGGGAGGUUUGGCACCUCGAUGUCGGCUCAUCGCAUCCUGGGGCGGUAGUACGUCCCAAGGGUUGGGCUGUUCGCCCAUGAAAGCGGUACGCGAGCUGGGUUCAGAACGUCGUGAGACAGUUCGGUCCAUAUCCGGUGUAGGCGUUAGAAUAUUGAGAGGAGCCUUCUUUAGUACGAGAGGACCGAGAAGGACACACCGCUGGUGUACCAGUUAUCGUGCCAACGGUAAACGCUGGGUAGCUAUGUGUGGAGUGGAUAACCGCUGAAAGCAUCUAAGUGGGAAGCCCACCUCAAGAUGAG